CAACAUCCUCUUUCAUUUUUAAAGCUAAAUAAAGCUUCAGUACUCCACCCAUAAAUCAGCAUGAUAAACCCUUUUGAAACUCAGCUCAAAAUAUACUAUAUAAAUCAUUCCCAAGCAUCCAUGUGAGAGCUAAAACAAAUUCAGCUCUUUUACCCCAAAAAUCCACCACCAAAACAGUCCCUUUAAACCACAAAAAUCUGCUCCAAUUUCUUUUCUUGAAGCCAUUGAAAGCUUCCAUUUUAACCACCAAAAUAGCCCCAAUUUUCCAGUUGAAACUACCUCAAACUCCAGCCGGAAAUUGCUGCCAAAACAGUCCAAAACCAACCCAAAAUUCCAGCCAAAAGAAGCUGCGAAAAUCAGCUUUGAAACAGCCCGAAACACCGUUGCAAAGCUUCAAAACUAGCAGCUCUUUCAUAAUCUUUUAACAUCCAAAACGAGCUCACAGACAUCAUAAAAUCAGCAAGAAAAGCCACCAUUGUUUGCUGAAAUCUGAGAAGAAAACAAUCCGGGAAAAGUUGUUUCCGACGAGGUCUUGUUUCGAGGUUCCGACGUGGUCUUAACAUGGCGAUUUUGUUUGUUGUUAGCUUCUUCAGCGUGCCUCUGUAUUCCUUGAUUGAAAUCUUAUAAAAAAUAUCAUUAUUUCGGAGUUGGAUUCUAAAGGAAAGACGAUUUUAGAGCUUUGAUUGCUAUUUUCGGAUCGAGGUAAGUGUUUGUUCUAAUUUUGGCUUGAGGGAUUAGGAUUAGGAUAUUAUUUGUUACGUGUUAACUGUGCAGAACGGUGUAUAGGCAUGGUGACGGUUAUAUAUGCACCGGAGUCUAGCAUGACCGUGAGUCGUAGUUGCUUUUAAAUUCGAACGAUGUAAAACAAUUGAGUUAAUUACUUGCUAAUUUAAUUAUGAAGUGAUAGCUGAGAAGUAAAUGAGUUAAAGAAGGAAGUGUGAUAUUUUUUCCCUUGCCGAGACUUAUUGUUGACUUGUUCUCCCUUGUCGGGAUGUUUAAUAUUGUUGUAUAUUCCCUUCCCUGAUUGGUUGUGACCGUUGAUUGUGUGAGGUUUUGAUAAUUAUGCACGAAGGAUCUUUUCGUGCCAUGUUUUUGAUUAAUUGAGCACGAAGGGUCAUUCAGUGCCUUGAUAUGAGAGUUGUGUGAGGAAAAGCACGAAGGGUGAUGUCGUGCACUAUAUUUGAUGGUUUUGGUAAGAAAUAAGAGUAAAAGCACGAAGGUUGGUGCCGUGCAGUUGUUGAUACACUUGCUUUUAUUGAUGUUAGUUAUUCAGUUUCUAUUUCUUAUUCGUUGAUAUUAUAUAAAUUGUUACACCCUACAGCAUGCCCCCUUCCUAUUAUCUGUUUACAUUUUGUAUAUUUUUUCAUUAUUGCACAUAUAUCUUUACAGGUUAAUUGUGGUAGGUCCGGGCUAGCCUCGUCACUACCUUGUCGGGGUUAGGCCAAGCACUACCAGCACAUGGGGUGGUUAUGCUGAUACUACACUUCUGUACCCUUUUUGUGCACAGAUUUGGGAGCAGCUUAUGGACUGUAGUACUAGUAGAUUGUGAGUGCCUUCAGUCCAGAGACUCCUAGGUAGUUCGCUGGCGUGCGCGGGCCUUGAGUCUCAUCUAUUUUAUUUAUGCUUGUUUUCAUUGUAUCGAGACUGACUUCUAUGUAUUUUCUUUCAGACUCUUAUUUGUAUUAUUUCAUUAUAAUCCGUGAGCAUUGUAACACUAAAACUUGAGUAGAGGAUGAUGUUAACUUUUUCGUGUUUCUUUUAUUAAUGUUAAAUUGAGAUUUCUGCUUAAA
RNAcentral lists this long non-coding RNA (1790 nucleotides) under Nicotiana benthamiana. RNAcentral's name for it is "long non-coding RNA (NBEN_LNC008075)". The record is from RNAcentral. Lineage: Eukaryota; Viridiplantae; Streptophyta; Magnoliopsida; Solanales; Solanaceae.